This 240-nucleotide long non-coding RNA is filed under the name Gossypium raimondii (Peruvian cotton). RNAcentral's name for it is "long non-coding RNA (GRAI_LNC005947)". Lineage: Eukaryota; Viridiplantae; Streptophyta; Magnoliopsida; Malvales; Malvaceae. The record is from RNAcentral.
ACGUGAUCACAGUGGUAAGAUUUUAGUAAUUUUUUCAGGGCUUUUGUGUAUUUUGGAGUCGAAAGAAGCUGAAUUGAGGCCAAUUAUAUUGGCUCUUGAAAAUGCACAAAAAACUCAUUGUGGAAUCAGAUUCUAAGGUGGUGAUUUUGUGGUGUACAAGUACUAAAAGAGACCAUGCAAAUAUUGAGAUUGUUUUAAAUUGAUAGAAAAAUUUUGUACGAGUUUGAAUGUAAUUGUUUU